RNAcentral lists this long non-coding RNA (362 nucleotides) under Homo sapiens (human). RNAcentral describes it as "HSALNT0320435". The record is from RNAcentral. Lineage: Eukaryota; Metazoa; Chordata; Mammalia; Primates; Hominidae.
GGGCUUCUUAAUGGUUUUCUGUUUUGCUCUGGCUGUUUUCUCACUCUUUUUUCCUGGCCUGAGCGAGGAGCGGGGCUGAGAAGAGUGGUAGAGUUUCAGAAACCCACAUCCACAGAGCCUUGGCGAAGAGACGGGAAACCGCCUCACCCCGGGUUCUUGUGUGGGCGCUGUUUACUGCACCCUCCUCGCCCGAGGCGACCUGACAGCGAAGCAGAGCGUAGGUCUAGGUGGCUGAGACGCCAGGGGAGGUGAAGUGACCGAAGGAAAUGUUUCCUGACAUAUUCGGUGGAUUUUUUUUAAAAACAUAUAGCAUCUGUAAGUUGUAUCGUCAAAGGUAAAUAAAAGAACCUGUGACGCUCAGC